RNAcentral lists this ribosomal RNA (253 nucleotides) under uncultured bacterium. Its description in RNAcentral is "partial 16S ribosomal RNA". It matches the Rfam family "Bacterial small subunit ribosomal RNA", at positions 524 to 776 of the family's 1533-position model. The record is from RNAcentral.
UACGAAGGGGGCUAGCGUUGCUCGGAAUCACUGGGCGUAAAGGGUGCGUAGGCGGGUCUUUAAGUCAGGGGUGAAAUCCUGGAGCUCAACUCCAGAACUGCCUUUGAUACUGAAGAUCUUGAGUUCGGGAGAGGUAAGUGGAACUGCGAGUGUAGAGGUGAAAUUCGUAGAUAUUCGCAAGAACACCAGUGGCGAAGGCGGCUCACUGGCCCGAUACUGACGCUGAGGCACGAAGGCGUGGGGAGCAAACAGG